Molecule: ribosomal RNA, 468 nt
Filed under: uncultured bacterium
Lineage: Bacteria
Description: bacterial SSU rRNA
Rfam family: Bacterial small subunit ribosomal RNA
Source: RNAcentral
CUUCCAGACUCCUACGGGAGGCAGCAGUGAGGAAUAUUGGUCAAUGGACGAGAGUCUGAACCAGCCAAGUAGCGUGAAGGAUGACUGCCCUAUGGGUUGUAAACUUCUUUUAUAUGGGAAUAAAAUGUUCCACGUGUGGGAUUUUGUAUGUACCAUAUGAAUAAGGAUCGGCUAACUCCGUGCCAGCAGCCGCGGUAAUACGGAGGAUCCGAGCGUUAUCCGGAUUUAUUGGGUUUAAAGGGAGCGUAGGUGGAUUGUUAAGUCAGUUGUGAAAGUUUGCGGCUCAACCGUGGAAUUGCAGUUGAAACUGGAGGCCUUGAGUGCACACAGGGAUGCCGGAAUUCAUGGUGUAGCGGUGAAAUGCUUAGAUAUCAUGAAGAACUCCGAUCGCGAAGGCAAGUGUCCGGGGUGCAACUGACGCUGAGGCUCGAAAGUGCGGGUAUCAAACAGGAUUAGAUACCCCCGUAC